Molecule: unclassified non-coding RNA, 237 nt
Filed under: Vishniacozyma victoriae
Lineage: Eukaryota; Fungi; Basidiomycota; Tremellomycetes; Tremellales; Bulleribasidiaceae
Description: sequence contains 5.8S rRNA gene
Rfam family: 5.8S ribosomal RNA (bases 1-54)
Source: RNAcentral
GAACGCACCUUGCGCCCUUUGGCUAUUCCGAAGGGCAUGCCUGUUUGAGUGUCAUGAAACCUCACCCCACUUGGGUUUUUGCCUGAGCGGUGGUGUAUUGGGUGUUGCCUUGCUAAAGGCUCGCCUUAAAGACAUAAGCACCUUGGAUGUAAUACGUUUCAUCCUUCUGGGUGGCUGAUAACCCCACAUAUUCAUGAUCUGGCCUCAAAUCAGGUAGGGCUACCCGCUGAACUUAAG